UUUCACAUCACAUGUAGAAGUACACAGGAAUGUGGCUAAUCACUUUUUAUUUGUAGUUUACCUGAGUGUCCUUGCACUUUUCAGGAGUUAAGGCAGAUGUGGAGGCACACGGGUGACACCAGACACACACCAAGCACAUUAUGUUCGGACAUUCAAUCAUGACAUGAUCCAUGUGGAGGCUGUCCAUUGAGGAAAGAGUUUGUUCAGAGGUAAGUAAAUCUUCUGUAUUUUAAUGUAAUUAGGUGUGGAACAGUAGAAUAAGAGCAAAAGGUUUCAGAAUAGGAGUAAAUUCAGGGCUGAGUUUAGUUUUAUUUUUUAAGAAUCUUUUUCUAUCUUGUAUUUGUUGCCUUAAUGUUUAUGAUAUUUCUAACAAGUUUCUGGACAGAAUUAAUCCCAAAGAUGGGAAAAAGUGCACAUCCAGACAAGGAGCAAGCAAAAAGACAAGGAACUUGGUGCAGAGAAAAGCUGUGGCCAUUAACCCCCAUGUGAACAGCUUCAUGCAGUCCCUGAUAGAGUUUGAAUGGGCGACUUCAAACUAAAGGCCAGUGUCUGUGUGCCACAGUUUAAUGCAUUUAUUUUAGUGUUCAAUGAAAUUCAAAUAGAAUAUUUAAAACUAUGGGCCAGUGUUCUUUUUACCACAGUGAAAUGUUACCUUUUAGUCGAUGAUGGACUUUAAACUGAAAACUUCAAACUAUGGAACAGUGUUCUAUUUGCCAGAGUUAAAUAUGUUACACAGGGGCCUCCAAACUUGUUUAUACUUUAUAAUAUUUUAUUUUAUUUUACUUGUUUAUUAUUGUUUAUCUCGUUUUAAAUGUUUUGUUUCAAUUACAUGUUUUUUUAAAUAAAAUGUUUGAAAUAAA
Molecule: non-coding RNA, 860 nt
Organism: Paramisgurnus dabryanus
Lineage: Eukaryota; Metazoa; Chordata; Actinopteri; Cypriniformes; Cobitidae
Source: RefSeq, a predicted model, not a curated record